AAUGUUGGCAGCAGGGGCGAAUGGUGAACAAUGCACGCAGGGCGGAUGCAGAGACGCCGCGGGCGGUAAGACGGCAUUCCUUUUGUAAACCUCAACCAGUUCAGAAGAAGGGAAAGUGACGGUACCUCCAGAAGAAGCGCCGGCUAAAUACGUGCCAGCAGCCGCGGUAAUAUGUAGGGGGCCAGCGUUUUCUGGAAUUAUUGGGCGUAAAGAGCUGGUAGGCGGUUUGUCGCGUUUGCCGUGAAAAUCCGGGGGUCAACCCCGGAUAUGCGGUGGGUACGGGCAGACUAGAGUGAUGUAGGGGAGAGGGGAAUUCCUGGUGUAGCGGUGAAAUGCGCAGAUAUCAGGAGGAACACCGAUGGGGAAGGCAGGUCUUUGGGCAUUAACUGACGCUGAGGAGCGAAAACAUGGGGAGGGAACAGGAUUAGAUACCCCGGUAGUCCAUGCCGUAAACGGUGGGCACUAGGUGUGGGGGACAUUCCACGUUUUCGCGCCGUAGCUAACGCA
Molecule: ribosomal RNA, 507 nt
Filed under: uncultured Actinomycetes bacterium
Lineage: Bacteria; Bacillati; Actinomycetota; Actinomycetes
Description: bacterial SSU rRNA
Rfam family: Bacterial small subunit ribosomal RNA
Source: RNAcentral